RNAcentral lists this long non-coding RNA (1457 nucleotides) under Anolis carolinensis (green anole). Its description in RNAcentral is "lncRNA (ENSACAG00000036593.1)". The record is from RNAcentral. Lineage: Eukaryota; Metazoa; Chordata; Lepidosauria; Squamata; Anolidae.
AUGUUUGAAUUUAACUGUAGAAAACAUGUAGAAAAUCACUUGCCUGAAGACACUUCACUGCAAGAUUUCAUGUACUUUAAAAUUUUCUCAUUAACAGGAUCAGCCUCUGACUUCCUUCAAGUCCUGGGGCUGGAUGUUGAAAAGUCAUCUGCCAAAAGUCUCUUAUACCUGAUCUUUCUUUGGGAUAGUCAUUGCUUGUGUGACGGUGAAUCCAGACAAGAACAAGCAUCCUGCCAUGGGAAUAGAGAUGCUUUCAUAUCUGCUACUUCAAGAUCUUUCCAUGGGUUGUGUUUCAUCUUGGGAGAGUUUGUACAAAAGGUGAUUUGUAUAACAUGUGCUGUUCAAAGAAGGCUGUACAUUUAAUCAAGAUCACUGUCAUUUCAACAGCGCCAUUGUAAUGUAAUACACUUUCAAUUUACCAAGUUAUUUCAGUGUCUUAGAAAGUUUUAUCAAUAAACUAUAAAAUUAGAGUUCAAAUAAAGCUUGUGAAGUUCUUUGUAUACUUUGUAUGAUAACCUUUUUAUUAUUUAUAUGACUGAAUACAACACUGUAGUAAUAAUGUGCACAAAACCUGAGUUGAAUAAACACAUUUUAACUGGUAUUAAUAUUCAAUUCACUGAAAUAUAUUUUCCAUUGACGCUCUCAGAACUGAAUCUGAAUAACACAACCUUUUGUGGGAAUUUUGGAAAAGUUUGAAGAGGAGAAAGAAGAUCUCAAUCAUUGACAUGCCCACCUUCUAACCAUAGGUCACAUGAUUAUUUACUUCUUUUAUUUAUUGUCUCAUUAUCACUGCUUAUCAUUGUCUAAAGCAGGAAACUUCCUGCUAGAUGCAAGGGUGCAUUAGUAGAUUUCAGGAACAAAAAAGCUAUAGGCCAGAAUUCUGUACCAAGUUACAAAUUUGUGAGAUAGAAUGAUGCACUCAUGAAUGUUACAUAUUCACUUAUGACUAUUACAUAUUACAUAUUUCCAUGUAGCCUUUACUUGAGGUGCUAUGUAGGAACUGAUCCAAUCUCCACAUACUAGGAAGCAGCCACUGUGAUCAAUAAUGUUCCCUUGUCACUCAGGAAGCAGUUGGUUGUCAUUUCCAUCUUCUCUGAUGUAAGGGCUCUCCAGUGCAAGAUGGAGGUACAAUAGGCACCAUUCCUGUCUUUUGCAAUUAGGAUCACUCAUGAAAAGGGUUGAAAACAGCAGUCCAGCUGCUUCUUUAGCAACAGGGGAACAGAUGCCCAGUGAUUACAGCAGCUGGGGAUUGGUAAAUGAGGAUUGUGAAGGUCAUGCCAGGAUUCAGUGCAUAACACAAUGAAACUUGUGUACACAUGAAGACCAUACAGGAUUCUGAACAUUGUUUUAUUUGAAAUUGCUGCUGUGUUCUGGCAUCAGGGGUGAGGAAAAUACAUUUCUAAGGAGUAGCAAAGUACAGGAGGAGAGCAAUGACCCAUCUCAAUAAAUAGUUAAGA